Molecule: unclassified non-coding RNA, 631 nt
Filed under: Hevea brasiliensis (rubber tree)
Lineage: Eukaryota; Viridiplantae; Streptophyta; Magnoliopsida; Malpighiales; Euphorbiaceae
Source: RNAcentral
AUUUAUGAAACAAUUCACAUGUCAAGCUUCAUAGAUUUUUCUGUUCAACUAAUUGCUUUUAAUUUUGAGUUUAAUGUUGAAUGGAAUCAUACUUAGUUUUACAUUCGCAUGUGGAGCACAGGAGAACCAGACACAAAAAUUGUACCAAUAAAAACUGACCCUAUUACAUUUCUUAUAACUGGUAUAGUACAGCUUCAAAUCAUGAAAAUGAGUAUACAUUGAUAAAUAAAGAUAUGAAACCAUGAUUGAAGGCAGAGCUCAAGAUAUAACGAGAAAGUGAGUGUAAAAGAUUCUAAUAUGGAAAUUGCAACUAAGAUGAUUCAAGAAUUUAGAUAAUUUAGGUGAAAAAUCAUGGAAUUAUAAACAUUGGUAUUAAGGCAUUAGAAGAAAUAAAAUUCUAGCAACAUCUUAGCUACAAUAUUGUACUAAUUCACUGUAACGUUUUAACUGAUGGGUUGAGGUGAUAGGGAUAUAUGCAUCAAAGAGACAAACAAAUCAUAAUCAUAAACUGUAGGCUGAGGGUGAGGGGAUAUAUGUACCUUAGCUCUUAAUAAUCAUGUAUUGUCGAUGCAAAGAAUAAAUAUAGAAAAAUAAAGAGCAUGGAUGAUUCUUUGUUUGCUUUGUUAUAAAU